UAGCAGCUGGAAACGGCUGAUAAAACCGCAUAAGCGCACAGUGCCGCAUGGCACAGUGUGAAAAACUCCGGUGGUAUGAGAUGGACCCGCGUCUGAUUAGCUGGUUGGCGGGGUAACGGCCCACCAAGGCGACGAUCAGUAGCCGGCCUGAGAGGGUGAUCGGCCACAUUGGGACUGAGACACGGCCCAAACUCCUACGGGAGGCAGCAGUGGGGAAUAUUGCACAAUGGGGGAAACCCUGAUGCAGCGACGCCGCGUGAAGGAAGAAGUAUCUCGGUAUGUAAACUUCUAUCAGCAGGGAAGAUAAUGACGGUACCUGACUAAGAAGCCCCGGCUAACUACGUGCCAGCAGCCGCGGUAAUACGUAGGAGGCAAGCGUUAUCCGGAUUUACUGGGUGUAAAGGGAGCGUAGGCGGCGGAGCAAGUCAGAAGUGAAAGCCCGGGGCUCAACCCCGGGACGGCUUUUGAAACUGCCCUGCUUGAUUUCAGGAGAGGUAAGCGGAAUUCCUAGUGUAGCGGUGAAAUGCGUAGAUAUUAGGAGGAACACCAGUGGCGAAGGCGGCUUACUGGACUGACAAUGACGCUGAGGCUCGAAAGCGUGGGGAGCAAACAGGAUUAGAUACCCUGGUAGUCCACGCCGU
RNAcentral lists this ribosomal RNA (641 nucleotides) under uncultured bacterium. RNAcentral's name for it is "bacterial SSU rRNA". It matches the Rfam family "Bacterial small subunit ribosomal RNA", at positions 144 to 803 of the family's 1533-position model. The record is from RNAcentral.